AUGUAACCGCCAUGGGGGUAGGAGCCCAGAACUAUUCUCCGCUUCAGACUGCUAAGGAAUCACGGGUCUCGAUUUCCAUCAAAUUAUGAGUCAUCCCACUGUAAUCACAAGCAAGUCUCAACCUGGCCCUGCAAUCCUUGUUCUCGAGCAGCAGGAAAUCUUACAAUCUCUGGAAAGGGCCCACCCUUCAAUGCUAUGAGCAGCAGAUAGACACUGUGACUAAUGGGGUCAUUUGUCAGGGCCUGGUGCUACAUACUUCAUCCUGGCAAAAUGCUUUUCCGAGGAGUUAACCGGAGGAAAUGGCUACAAAUAAGAGCAUUACCAGAAGAGAAAGAUUGAGGACUGCAGUCUCUAACAUAAAUAGAUUCAUGCCUAUUAUCUAUUAAAAGGCACAAAACUACUCAUAGUCAUUGUGAGCUAUACGUAUACAAAAUGAAAUUCAGGACUAAAAUUGCUUAGUUAAAUGAUUCGCUGUGACAGGUGUUUCAAAAAAUUACAAAUAAAUUCUGAAUCUAUCAAAAAAA
Mesocricetus auratus (golden hamster) is the source of this 524-nucleotide long non-coding RNA. RefSeq lists it as uncharacterized. The transcript has 2 exons. The record is from RefSeq and is a predicted model, not a curated record. Lineage: Eukaryota; Metazoa; Chordata; Mammalia; Rodentia; Cricetidae.